This 441-nucleotide ribosomal RNA is filed under the name uncultured bacterium. Its description in RNAcentral is "bacterial SSU rRNA". It matches the Rfam family "Bacterial small subunit ribosomal RNA", at positions 958 to 1399 of the family's 1533-position model. The record is from RNAcentral.
AACGCGAAGAACCUUACCUGGCCUUGACAUCCCAGGAACCCUGAAGAGAUUCGGGGGUGCCGCAAGGAGCCUGGAGACAGGUGCUGCAUGGCUGUCGUCAGCUCGUGUCGUGAGAUGUUGGGUUAAGUCCCGCAACGAGCGCAACCCUUGUCCUUAGUUGCCAUCAUUAAGUUGGGAACUCUAAGGAGACCGCCGGUGACAAACCGGAGGAAGGUGGGGAUGACGUCAAGUCAUCAUGGCCUUUAUGGCCAGGGCUACACACGUGCUACAAUGGUAGGUACAGAGGGAAGCCAACGGGUGACCGGGAGCUAAUCCCAGAAAGCCUAUCGUAGUCCGGAUCGGAGUCUGCAACUCGACUCCGUGAAGUUGGAAUCGCUAGUAAUCGCAGAUCAGCAUUGCUGCGGUGAAUACGUUCCCGGGCCUUGUACACACCGCUCGCGA